RNAcentral lists this long non-coding RNA (382 nucleotides) under Nicotiana benthamiana. Its description in RNAcentral is "long non-coding RNA (NBEN_LNC010103)". The record is from RNAcentral. Lineage: Eukaryota; Viridiplantae; Streptophyta; Magnoliopsida; Solanales; Solanaceae.
CUCGACCGAGGUCAAAGCAACGGCCAUCAGAAUGGGGUGGAUCUUCGUGAUUUCCUUUCAAGGCCAGCUCAAUCUUCAACAGCAAAACCUAGUUUUCAACAGCAGAUCCCCGAGCCGAGGGAUAAUAGACCACGAGUACCUGAGCCAAGGGAUAAUAGAGCGCGAGUACCCGAGCCAAGGGAUAAUAGACCGCGAGUACACAGCAGCAGAUCCCUGAGCCGAGGGAUAAUAGACCACGAGUACCUGAGCCAAGGGAUAAUAGACCGCGAGUACCUGAGCCAAGGAAUGAUAGACAGCGAAUGAUUUAUUCAAGAGGUUCUAGACAAUACAUACCUGAAAUCAGAGAUUCAAGACAGUACAUACCCGAAGCCAGGGAUUUUAG